GGGGGUAUAGCUCAAUGGUAGAGCACUCGCCUCUUAAGCGAAUGGUUCAGGGUUCAAAUCCCUGUGCCCCCA
This 72-nucleotide transfer RNA is filed under the name Candidatus Curtissbacteria bacterium. Its description in RNAcentral is "tRNA-Lys". It matches the Rfam family "tRNA". From Rfam's summary of the family: Transfer RNA (tRNA) molecules are approximately 80 nucleotides in length. The record is from RNAcentral. Lineage: Bacteria; Candidatus Curtissiibacteriota.